Asparagus officinalis (garden asparagus) is the source of this 763-nucleotide long non-coding RNA. RefSeq lists it as uncharacterized. The transcript has 5 exons. The record is from RefSeq and is a predicted model, not a curated record. NCBI's taxonomy places the organism in Eukaryota, Viridiplantae, Streptophyta, Magnoliopsida, Asparagales, Asparagaceae.
UACCUGAUCCUCGCUGCCUUCAUCUCUAACGCCGCCUCCCCUCCACCUCCAUCUCGUCUCCAUCAUCUCCUCCUCCAAUCCUCGCUCACUAUCAAAACCCAAAAACAAAAGCCAAGAUCCCGCAUCUAGGGUUCAAUGCUCUGCCGCCUCCUCACCACUGCCCCUAUCCUACCUUAGCCCCCCCAAGGAGUUUGCAGAAUCAAAGGGAUUAUUCAGGAGGCUGAUAGUGCUGCUGAGCUGAAAAAACGAAAAAGGGUAACCAUGUAGGGAGUUGGAGAAAAGUCAAAAUGAGCUAGCCAACCAGGACCCUAUAUCGAGGAGCAAUAUGACGGUGGAAGAUUAUUGGCUAUAAUCUCUUUCUCCCUAGACAAUGCAUUCAAGCUAAUGAGAACCUGAAAGUGCUAUAACAAGAGAAGAGGAAAUGGCCUUGGCACAAGAAAAAGGAUGCUUGUUCUUGAAUGCAGUGGAAAAACACGAAUGAUUGUUGAGAAAAUGCUUUGGAAGACUUGGAGUAAAGCAGACAUAUUCUUGAAGAGAAAGAGCUAAAGUCGUACAUGAAGAAGCUCCAGAGGAAGAAGAGUAAGGGUUUAGCUGGAAACAGAUUAUAGAAAAAUGUUGUUCAUUAUACAUGAAUUUGUUCUUGAGUAAUUUGUUGCAUAAUCAGCUUGACUGAAUUUUUUUCUUGCAUCUUUUCUAUGUAAAAAAACAUGAGGAUGUUUUAAUUUGAUUAAAGGAAAUGAUGAAUGCGUUGUGUUUUUGUCUC